Molecule: long non-coding RNA, 1046 nt
Organism: Alligator mississippiensis (American alligator)
Lineage: Eukaryota; Metazoa; Chordata; Crocodylia; Alligatoridae
Exons: 4
Source: RefSeq, a predicted model, not a curated record
GGACCAUCUGAAACUUCCUCCCUCUUGAAACUCAUGAACAAUGAGCUGCCUGCCUCCAGAGGGAAUCUCCACCUGCCUCUGGAUGAUACUCUGAGCAGACGUGGAUGGUGCCAUGAGACAUGCAUCAGCGGGGUCAACCGGCAGCUUCACAGCUGGUGUUACCAGGCUGGCUGAUCUUGUGUGGCGAGCUUUAAACUAGGUUCACUGGGGGACAGGGAUGCAGAGAAACACGAGGACACUUCGCUAUCAAGCCAGGUGAUGCGCACAGGUAGUACCCAGAAGUAAGUUAUACAUUGUAAUAAUGUUAACAAGGGCAGGAGUCAAACUGCUGCUUCCCUGUAUCAGGCGGGCCCCUGAAAGAGCGAGUGAAUCAGUGACUGAAUGCGUAACGCAGUAGCAAGCAGCAAAUAACACCUAGGAAAACCACAGAUCAACCAAUGGAAGAAAUCAAUAGAAGACAAUGUAGCAACCGGGACAUCUCUAAACCUCACUGUUCAAAGGCUAGAAGCCCAGGUCUGAGUUAAUGAACGCCGGGGACCAACUUUUGGGAUGAAUAUCUCCAGAUCGACCACUCCCAGAGCCCUAUUCAAAACUCAUCAAUGGACUCCCAAACCUGCACGUACAUGCGGGGGGGCUGCGACCCCUGGGGCUGACAGAUGCCAUCCAGUAGCCACCAAGGGGGAAGUCCCAUGAGGGUCAACAACCCCUGGAUUGAGCAAACCUGAAAACUGGGGAGUCACCAAAGCCUGCCAAGCACAGAUAAAAAGCAGUGAAAAGUGACCCUCAGGGGCGCCCUCUUGAUCUCCAACUUGACCAGCACCCAACCUGUCCAGCCAGAAGGACCAGCCGGCGACCCCCUUCUGGAAGAUAACACCACACUGAAAGAAGCCUCGACGGCAGAUUCCAGCACCUGUGGGAUAGGUAUACCUGACUCUUGUAGCUUGCUACUGUGUGUGUGCAUGAGGGGGGGCAGGACCAGCCCCAAGGUUUAUGAUUGAACUUCAUUACAGUGUUUCAAUCCGCCUAAUAAACCAGAAUUUUAAGGA